This 20-nucleotide microRNA is filed under the name Homo sapiens (human). RNAcentral's name for it is "hsa-miR-6742-3p". The record is from miRBase by way of RNAcentral. Lineage: Eukaryota; Metazoa; Chordata; Mammalia; Primates; Hominidae.
ACCUGGGUUGUCCCCUCUAG